This 305-nucleotide ribosomal RNA is filed under the name uncultured bacterium. RNAcentral describes it as "bacterial SSU rRNA". It matches the Rfam family "Bacterial small subunit ribosomal RNA", at positions 335 to 654 of the family's 1533-position model. The record is from RNAcentral.
AUUCCUACGGGGCGCAGCAGUCGGGAAUAUUGCGCAAUGGGCGCAAGCCUGACCCAGCAACGCCGCGUGAAGGAAGAAGGCUUUCGGGUUGUAAACUUCUUUUCUCAGGGACGAAGUAAGUGACGGUACCUGAGGAAUAAGCCACGGCUAACUACGUGCCAGCAGCCGCGGUAAUACGUAGGUGGCAAGCGUUAUCCGGAUUUACUGGGUGUAAAGGGCGCGUAGGCGGGGAAGCAAGUCUGAUGUGAAAACCACGGGCUCAACCUGUGGCCUGCAUUUGAAACUGUUUUUCUUGAGUACUGGAG